This is a long non-coding RNA of Drosophila subobscura, 477 nucleotides long. RefSeq lists it as uncharacterized. NCBI's taxonomy places the organism in Eukaryota, Metazoa, Arthropoda, Insecta, Diptera, Drosophilidae. The transcript is spliced from 3 exons. The record is from RefSeq and is a predicted model, not a curated record.
CGCCGUAGAAGCCGUUUUCCCCAAACAAAGUCCUCCUCCUGGCUCUCGUCGUAGCUCAUGCAUUUUCGGGAGACCGCUGUCAUAUAUCGCAUCUCGAUAGCGAGAAUGCUGCUGCGGUGCUGCUCUACAAAAGGAGUGCAUUUUGGAGUCUGCCUGCGCUGCAGGUAGGGCCGCCUCCGUACGCAGCUCUGUGGAAAAUAAUUUUUUGAAGCACACUGUGGCAUGCAGCAAAUGACAGAGAAUGAAAUCGUGAAAAUAUUUUGCGUGUGUGUCGUAUGGUUACUGUGACACUUGCACACACAAAGAGCUGAGGAGAGCUCCUUCUUCGAGUCCGUCAGCACGCACACAGGACGCAGGACGCAGGACACAGUGGGAGGCGGCAGGACAUGACAUGGAAUGCGGAAGGUGGAAAGUGGAAGGACACCCAGCUAACGGCAUGUGCAACCCUUUCCACACAUGUGUGUGGCUCUGUGUGUG